Molecule: ribosomal RNA, 292 nt
Filed under: uncultured bacterium
Lineage: Bacteria
Description: partial 16S ribosomal RNA
Rfam family: Bacterial small subunit ribosomal RNA
Source: RNAcentral
GUGUCAGCCGCCGCGGUAAAACGUAGGAGGCGAGCGUUAUCCGGAUUUACUGGGUGUAAAGCGCGUGCAGGCGGCUCGUUAAGUUGGGUGUGAAAGCUCCUGGCUCAACCGGGAGAGGUCGCUCAAGACUGGCGGGCUGGAGAGUGGUAGAGGAAGGUGGAAUUCCGGGUGUAGUGGUGAAAUGCGUAGAUAUCCGGAGGAACACCAGUGGCGAAAGCGGCCUUCUGGGCCACAUCUGACGCUCAGACGCGAAAGCUAGGGUAGCAAACGGGAUUAGAAACCCCCGUAGUCC